UAGGGAAUAUUGCAAAAUGGGCGAAAGCCCGAUGCAGCAACGCCGCGUGGGCGAUGAAGGCCUUCGGGUCGUAAAGCCCUUUUUGAGGGGAUGAGGAAGGACAGUACCCUCAGAAUAAGCCUCGGCUAACUACGUGCCAGCAGCCGCGGUAAAACGUAGGAGGCGAGCGUUAUCCGGAUUUACUGGGCGUAAAGCGCGUGCAGGCGGAUUGGAGAGUUGGAUGUGAAAGCUCCCGGCUUAACUGGGAGAGGUCGUUCAAUACUUCCAGUCUUGAGUGCAGUAGAGGGAAGUGGAAUUCCGGGUGUAGUGGUGAAAUGCGUAGAUAUCCGGAGGAACACCAGUGGCGAAAGCGGCUUCCUGGACUGUAACUGACGCUCAGACGCGAAAGCGUGGGGAGCAAACA
Molecule: ribosomal RNA, 403 nt
Filed under: uncultured bacterium
Lineage: Bacteria
Description: bacterial SSU rRNA
Rfam family: Bacterial small subunit ribosomal RNA
Source: RNAcentral